GGGUAUAUAGCUCAGUUGGUAGAGUGUUUGCCUCGCUUGCACAAGGCCCUGGGUUCAAUCCCCAGCACCACUA
Molecule: non-coding RNA, 73 nt
Organism: Ictidomys tridecemlineatus (thirteen-lined ground squirrel)
Lineage: Eukaryota; Metazoa; Chordata; Mammalia; Rodentia; Sciuridae
Source: Rfam